AUGAUAUGUACGCAAACAUCACAAUAUAGCUUAUCUGAUAUCAAUCAAAUGGCACAAAUAAAAAUCACAAUAUGUAGGCGAACAGGAUAUACUACAAAAUGGAAAAGAUUUUCGCAUAUAUUUACCACUAUUGUAAUUGCGUCAGCUGUACUCUCUCUGUUUAAUUCAUCUUUGAUAGAGCUCUCGGAUGAAAAGGAUAAUGUAAGGUUCUGUGCUAGUACCAUCGGCAGUAUUUCUUCCUGCAAAAAACUCUCAAAGUCAUCAGAUGUAAUUCCUGGCUCAAGUGAAAUAUAUAAAUCGCUAGAGUGUGCACCUUCUUCUGAAGUUAAACCAAAAGCUACAAAAACACUGUAG
Molecule: ribosomal RNA, 354 nt
Filed under: Triticum aestivum (bread wheat)
Lineage: Eukaryota; Viridiplantae; Streptophyta; Magnoliopsida; Poales; Poaceae
Description: partial small subunit ribosomal RNA
Source: RNAcentral